GACGAACGCUGGCGGCGUGCUUAACACAUGCAAGUCGAACGGAAAGGCCUGCUUUCCCUUGUGGAUUGCGGGUACUCGAGUGGCGAACGGGUGAGUAACACGUGAGUGAUCUGCCCCCAACUUGGGUAUAAGCCUGGGAAACUGGGUCUAAUUCCCGAUAGGACUGCAGGGUGGUGCCUGUGGUGGAAAACGAUUUUCUAGUGGUUGGGGAUGAGCUCGCGGCCUAUCAGCUUGUUGGUGGGGUAAUGGCCUACCAAGGCGGGGACGGGGAGCCGGCCUGGGAGGGGGGACGGCCACAGUGGGACUGGGAUACGGCCCAGACGCCUACGGGAGGCAGCAGGUGGGAAUAUUGCACCAUGGGCGGGAGCCUGAUGCAGCGACGCCGCGUGGGGGAUGACGGCCUUCGGGUUGUAAACUCCUUUCGACCGCGAGGAAGCCACCUGGUUGGAAGGGUGGUGACGGUAGUGGUAGAAGAAGCACCGGCUAACUACGUG
This 494-nucleotide ribosomal RNA is filed under the name uncultured bacterium. RNAcentral's name for it is "partial 16S ribosomal RNA". It matches the Rfam family "Bacterial small subunit ribosomal RNA", at positions 28 to 507 of the family's 1533-position model. The record is from RNAcentral.